AGGCGGUCCAUCACGUCUGAGUGUGAAAGUCCAGGGCUCAACUCUGGGAUGGCCUUGGAAACGGGUGGACUUGAGGGUCGGAGAGGUAGGGGAAUCCACGUGUAGCGGUGAAAUGCGUAGAGAUGUGGAGGAAUACCAGUGGCGAAGGCGCCUGACUGGACGAAACCUGACGCUGAGGCGCGAAGGCGUGGGGAGCAAACAGGAUUAGAUACCCUGGUAGUCCACGCGGUAAACGAUGAGUGCUAGGUGUCGGAGGGUACCACCUCCGGUGCCGAAGGAAACCCAAUAAGCACUCCGCCUGGGGAGUACGGUCGCAAGACUGAAACUCAAAGGAAUUGACGGGGGCCCGCACAAGCAGUGGAGCAUGUGGUUUAAUUCGAAGCAACGCGAAGAGCCUUACCAGGGCUUGACAUCGUCGUGACCGGUCUAGAGAUAGGCCUUCCCUUCGGGGCACGAUAGACAGGUGGUGCAUGGUUGUCGUCAGCUCGUGUCGUGAGAUGUUGGGUUAAGUCCCGCAACGAGCGCAACCCUUGAUCUGUGUUACCAGCGCGUAGAGGCGGGGACUCACAGAUGACUGCCGGUGACAAACCGGAGGAAGGCGGGGAUGACGUCAAAUCAUCAUGCCCCUUAUGUCCUGGGCGACACACGUGCUACAAUGGGCGGAACAAAGGGAAGCGAGACCGCGAGGUGGAGCGAACCCCAUAAAACCGUUCGUAGUUCGGAUUGUAGGCUGCAACUCGCCUG
This 744-nucleotide ribosomal RNA is filed under the name uncultured low G+C Gram-positive bacterium. RNAcentral describes it as "bacterial SSU rRNA". It matches the Rfam family "Bacterial small subunit ribosomal RNA", at positions 573 to 1318 of the family's 1533-position model. The record is from RNAcentral. Lineage: Bacteria; Bacillati; Bacillota.